UAUGUUUAUUGUGUAAAACGAUUGCACCGUUGUUGGAAAAAGUAUUUUAGUUUCUGUUGGUAUUUCGAUUAGAUUGAUUAUUCAAUGAUGAUUUUAAAUAAAAUCCAUUUUUCCAAAGCUUCUGUGCUAUUUAUAAGAUUUCUGAAAUUAGAAAUGUUUCAUAGCUAGUGAAAACAAAGUGGAUAAUUGAUUAGCGGAUGCGAAAUCCAUAAAAGUUUGAAUCGGUUUGCACGAUAUUAACACAUAUUCAAUGUCAUAACAUAGUGAUUUUUUUUUGUAAAAGUAACAUGACAAACACUUUGUUGCAGAGUUUUCAAAAUCCAUCAGAAUCGUGAAUAACCGAAACACACAUUGUAAAAUGAAAUUAUAUUUAUGCAAGAGUGAAAUGAACGCAUUAAGUUUGCAGACUGGUUGAUCAAUGGCAAUGAAUCAUUCGUAUCUGUGGGUGAAAAUGUCAUCGUGUUAAGAUACGUUACUUGUCGUGGAUGCGAACUAUAGCCAGAAGGAAAUAAACCAUAUGGUCCUAUCGACUCACGAAAGAGUAAUCAUCUUUUGACGAAACAACAAAAACAUUAGCCUCGUCCUAGACCACGUAAGGCAUCAACAUUUCGAUGUCACGAAGAAAAACGGACAAUUGGUCGUACUAUCACAUGGAAUCGUGAUACAAACUCCGGUUGCAAUAUACUCUACAAAGAAUCAACAACCAAUACAAGGAACACCCAUAUAGCUUAUUUGCGAAAUAAUUUUUUCGAUGGCGGGACUGUGCGAAGUUCAGCGGUUACUUACUCCGUUAUAAUUCCAAAUGUUUUCUUCUACAUUAAUUCUUGUUCAUAAGAUGAUAUUUUUUGUAACAUUGAAUCUGCAAUGAAAAACAAAUCCAUUAGUUUAGAGAAAAUUUGUAUAUUCAGAUAGUAUUUUCUCCAAAGAAAACAGAAUAAAAAGGAUUCAGCAAUCUGAGUUAGCAAAAUAGCUUUAAAAUUCUUAUAUACCAGAUGACCUUCUCCAAUUAUAAUAUUAUUUGAUUUUUAUGUCGCCCAAAUAUAAUUAAACGAAAUUCAUAUCUUUUAUCGAAAAAGAUGUAAAAUUAG
Long non-coding RNA from Contarinia nasturtii (swede midge), 1088 nucleotides. RefSeq lists it as uncharacterized. The transcript has 3 exons. The record is from RefSeq and is a predicted model, not a curated record. Lineage: Eukaryota; Metazoa; Arthropoda; Insecta; Diptera; Cecidomyiidae.